This 253-nucleotide ribosomal RNA is filed under the name uncultured bacterium. RNAcentral's name for it is "partial 16S ribosomal RNA". It matches the Rfam family "Bacterial small subunit ribosomal RNA", at positions 524 to 776 of the family's 1533-position model. The record is from RNAcentral.
UACGUAGGGUGCAAGCGUUAAUCGGAAUUACUGGGCGUAAAGCGUGCGCAGGCGGUGAUGUAAGUCAGGUGUGAAAUCCCCGGGCUCAACUUGGAAACUGCAUUUGUGACUGCAUCGCUGGAGUGCGGCAGAGGGGGAUGGAAUUCCGCGUGUAGCAGUGAAAUGCGUAGAUAUGCGGAGGAACACCGAUGGCGAAGGCAAUCCCCUGGGCCUGCACUGACGCUCAUGCACGAAAGCGUGGGGAGCAAACAGG